Molecule: ribosomal RNA, 444 nt
Filed under: Triticum aestivum (bread wheat)
Lineage: Eukaryota; Viridiplantae; Streptophyta; Magnoliopsida; Poales; Poaceae
Description: partial small subunit ribosomal RNA
Source: RNAcentral
AUGUUGGCGGCUCGCCGCCACGCCGCCUCCACUUCCGGUCCCCUCCUCCUCCGGCGCCUCUCCGCCCAGCCCAAGCCCAAGGCCCCUGCGCCAUCACCUCCUCCGCCUCCGCCGUCGGACGAGGGGGCCGCAGCGUGGGCCCGUCGCGCGGCCGCGCUCUCGCUGCUGGGGCUCACCGGCGCCGUCGCCGCCAGCGCCUUCAGCGACCUCUCCGUCUUCCUCUCCUGCUCCAGCCAGGCAAUGGAGAAGGCUACCAAGAACAAGCAGGUAGCGAGCGCGAUCGGCGAGCCCAUCACGCGGGGUCCCUGGUACAGCGCGUCCAUCGCCGUGAACCGCGCGAGGCGCUCCGUCUCGUGCACUUUCCCGGUGUCGGGGCCCCAAGGCGACGGGCUUCUCAAGUUCAAGGCUGUUCGCUUGGGAGGUGUGUGCCGGUUGACAGCUUGA